CAGCAGCCGCGGGAAUACGUAGGGUGCAAGCGUUGUCCAGAAUUAUUGGGCGUAAAGAGCUCGUAGGCGGUUUGUCGCGUCUGCUGUGAAAUCCCGAGGCUCAACCUCGGGCUUGCAGUGGGUACGGGCAGACUAGAGUGCGGUAGGGGAGAUUGGAAUUCCUGGUGUAGCGGUGGAAUGCGCAGAUAUCAGGAGGAACACCGAUGGCGAAGGCAGAUCUCUGGGCCGUAACUGACGCUGAGGAGCGAAAGCGUGGGGAGCGAACAGGAUUAGAUACCCGUGUAGUCCCUGUCUCUUAUAC
This 301-nucleotide ribosomal RNA is filed under the name uncultured bacterium. RNAcentral describes it as "partial 16S ribosomal RNA". It matches the Rfam family "Bacterial small subunit ribosomal RNA", at positions 509 to 807 of the family's 1533-position model. The record is from RNAcentral.